RNAcentral lists this ribosomal RNA (459 nucleotides) under uncultured beta proteobacterium. RNAcentral describes it as "bacterial SSU rRNA". It matches the Rfam family "Bacterial small subunit ribosomal RNA", at positions 341 to 792 of the family's 1533-position model. Lineage: Bacteria; Pseudomonadati; Pseudomonadota; Betaproteobacteria. The record is from RNAcentral.
ACGGGAGGCAGCAGUGGGGAAUUUUGGACAAUGGGGGCAACCCUGAUCCAGCCAUGCCGCGUGAGUGAAGAAGGCCUUCGGGUUGUAAAGCUCUUUCGGCCGGGAAGAAAUCGCAUGGGCCAAUACCCUGUGUGGAUGACGGUACCGGACUAAGAAGCACCGGCUAACUACGUGCCAGCAGCCGCGGUAAUACGUAGGGUGCGAGCGUUAAUCGGAAUUACUGGGCGUAAAGCGUGCGCAGGCGGUUUUGUAAGACAGCUGUGAAAUCCCCGGGCUCAACCUGGGAACUGCGGUUGUGACUGCAAGGCUAGAGUACGGCAGAGGGGGGUGGAAUUCCUGGUGUAGCAGUGAAAUGCGUAGAUAUCAGGAGGAACAUCGAUGGCGAAGGCAGCCCCCUGGGCCGCUACUGACGCUCAUGCACGAAAGCGUGGGGAGCAAACAGGAUUAGAUACCCUGGUA